GAUGAACGCUGGCGGCGUGCCUAAUACAUGCAAGUCGAGCGAACGGACGAUAAGCUCGCGUCCCUGAUGUUAGCGGCGGACGGGCGAGUAAGACGUAGAUAACCUACCUAUAAUACUGGGAUAACAUCGGGAAACCGGAUAUGAUACUAGCUAAUAUUUUGUACCGCAGGGUGCAAAAGUGAAUGACGGCUUUCGCGUCAGAUAGAGAUGGAUCCGCGCUGCAUUAGCUAGUUGGUAAGGUAACGGCUUACCAAGGCAACGAUGCAUAGCCGACCUGAGAGGGUGAUCAGCCACACUGGAACUGAGACACGGUCCAGACUCCUACGGGAGGCAGCAGUAGGGAAUAUUGCGCAAAGGGCGAAAGCCUGACCGAGCCAUGCCGCGUGAGUGAUGAAGGUCUUCGGAUCGUAAAGCUCUGUUAUUAGGGAAGAACAUAUGUGUAAGUAACUGUGCACAUCUUGACGGUACCUAAUGAGAAAGCCCCGGCUAACUACGUG
Molecule: ribosomal RNA, 497 nt
Filed under: uncultured bacterium
Lineage: Bacteria
Description: partial 16S ribosomal RNA
Rfam family: Bacterial small subunit ribosomal RNA
Source: RNAcentral